GACGAACGCUGGCGGCGUGCUUAACACAUGCAAGUCGAACGGAAAGGCCCUGCUUUUGUGGGGUGCUCGAGUGGCGAACGGGUGAGUAACACGUGAGUAACCUGCCCUUGACUUUGGGAUAACUUCAGGAAACUGGGGCUAAUACCGGAUAGGAGCUCCUGCUGCAUGGUGGGGGUUGGAAAGUUUCGGCGGUUGGGGAUGGACUCGCGGCUUAUCAGCUUGUUGGUGGGGUAGUGGCUUACCAAGGCUUUGACGGGUAGCCGGCCUGAGAGGGUGACCGGCCACAUUGGGACUGAGAUACGGCCCAGACUCCUACGGGAGGCAGCAGUGGGGAAUAUUGAACAAUAGGCGGAAGCCUGAUGCAGCAACGCCGCGUGCGGGAUGACGGCCUUCGGGUUGAAAACCGCUUUCGCCUGUGACGAAGCGUGAGUGACGGUAAUGGGUAAAGAAGCACCGGCUAACUACGUG
RNAcentral lists this ribosomal RNA (468 nucleotides) under uncultured bacterium. RNAcentral's name for it is "partial 16S ribosomal RNA". It matches the Rfam family "Bacterial small subunit ribosomal RNA", at positions 28 to 507 of the family's 1533-position model. The record is from RNAcentral.